This 53-nucleotide transfer RNA is filed under the name Metasequoia glyptostroboides. Its description in RNAcentral is "partial tRNA-Pro". The record is from RNAcentral. Lineage: Eukaryota; Viridiplantae; Streptophyta; Pinopsida; Cupressales; Cupressaceae.
UAGGGAUGACAGGAUUGAACCUGCGACAUUUUGUACCCAAAACAAACGCGCUA